AUCCCGAUGCUAUUUCUAGAGAUAGAAAGUUACUUCGGUACAUCGGUGACAGGUGGUGCAUGGUUGUCGUCAGCUCGUGUCGUGAGAUGUUGGUUAAGUCCCGCAACGAGCGCAACCCCUAUUGUUAGUUUGCCAUCAUUCAGUUGGGCACUCUAGCGAGACUGCCGGUAAUAAACCGGAGGAAGGUGGGAUGACGUCAAAUCAUCAUGCCCCUUAUGACCUGGGCUACACACGUGCUGCAAUGGUUGGUACAACGAGUUGCGAGUCGGUGACGGCGAGCUAAUCUCUUAAAGCCAAUCUCAGUUCGGAUUGUAGGCUGCAACUCGCCUACAUGAAGUCGGAAUCGCUAGUAAUCGCGGAUCAGCACGCCGCGGUCCGAAUACGUUCCGGCCUU
RNAcentral lists this ribosomal RNA (394 nucleotides) under uncultured Streptococcus sp. RNAcentral's name for it is "bacterial SSU rRNA". It matches the Rfam family "Bacterial small subunit ribosomal RNA", at positions 986 to 1374 of the family's 1533-position model. The record is from RNAcentral. Lineage: Bacteria; Bacillati; Bacillota; Bacilli; Lactobacillales; Streptococcaceae.